Molecule: long non-coding RNA, 835 nt
Organism: Neofelis nebulosa (Clouded leopard)
Lineage: Eukaryota; Metazoa; Chordata; Mammalia; Carnivora; Felidae
Exons: 2
Source: RefSeq, a predicted model, not a curated record
CGCUUCUAGCCCCCGGUGACUUUGACCGGGGUGGGGGUGGGGUUCUGAAAAGGGAGCCUGUCCUCGGCCAGGAGCACCUGCAAAUCCACAGGGGCGUGGCUUGGCCCGCUAACCUCUGCCUCACCUGCCCGAGCCCGCCUGGCAGCCUGCUGGGUCCCAUCCAGGGUGCACUCGGGGCCGGGUUUCGGGCUUCCCACGGGCAGGGGUGAUGCCAGGCCCUGGCUGCGGGCGGCAGGGGGCCACCUCCGCGGGCAUUUCCUCCUGCGCCAGGCCAAGAGCGCGACUGUUCUGAUUACGUGUCGGCCAGGAGCCGCAGAUGUUGUGCAAGCACCCCUCUCCGGGACUAGCUGUCUCCUCCCCUUCUCCCCAGCCAGGCUCCUCCGGCCCACCUCCUCGGGGGUCCUGCCUGCUCUCCCGGGUAGACCGUCCCGUGCCCCUUUGUGGGCCCCACCGGGUCCUGCCCGCAGGGACAUCAUGACACACGCCAUGUGGUCUGCUCCUCCCCCACCAGGCCCAUGGCUCUGGGAGGACAAGGACUCUGUGGAACCCACAUCUCCCUCCCCAUCUAUGGCGCGUCGCAGGCACGCGGAUACCUGUCGUUCUGGGUGUGAUGCCUCCUUCUGAUGGGCUUUGGGUCAAGCGUCGCAACAGAAAUACCCAGGACUGAAGUGCACGUCCCCUGCUGCAUCAUAUCUGGGGUCACACGGUGUCACCUGUCCCAUCGCUGGUCCUGGUAAUGCUGAUCCCUCGGUUAAGGUCAGGUCUGCUAGGUUCCUCCACGGUAACGGGACUGUUUUCCCUCUGUAACUAAUAAAUGUCUUCUGGGCACCUGGUG